AGAAAACAUGCAUAAUGAAGAAAUGUCCCUAAGAGAUAGACUUCCUGCAGUGCAUGCAGGAGGCAAGUGCAGAGGCUACUGGGCAAAGUGCAUCCACCCAGAGGACAUUUCUGGUUGAAAAUUAAUGAGCCUGUCACCUGACAGAGCACAUACUCCUGGCAGCAGGAAGUGUCAGAAACACAGGAUUUAGCAUGAAAAUGGGAAUUCUUAGGCUGUGAAUAUGUAGAAAGAGAAAGACACUUCAGGCAAAUAUUUUCAGGAAUGUAGAUUUGGAGCUGUUCUGGGCAAUUACCAGCAGUCUUACUUAACAAAACAGGAGAAUUUGCAAACCUUCCAAAAUCCAUCCUUCCAUAUUCAAGUGGGCAGCAUUAACAGUGGCUACUAAGAAUUAAUUUUAAGCAGAAGAGAUUUCCAGUGGUUGCUUUCUAUCCAUGCUGCAGCAGUAGUGAGCAGAGCACAGCAGUCACGCUGAGGACAGCCCACUGCGGUUGCCUGUCCUUACCACUGGUCCUCAAAGACAAAAUCAAGAGCCCCAGGAGGGUGGAGAUGGAUCCCAGUCCCUUAUUGAAGAAGAAACUAAUGUCUAGAGACGUUAAGUGACUUCAACACCACGUAUGAGACAGCCAAAAUGAAAGCUGAGUCAUUCUGGCAGCAGAGUCCAACUUCAAAGCCCAACACCAAACUACCAUCUUCUGCUUAAGUCUUACAGCUCUACAUUCCUAGAUCUCACAUUUCCCUCUGAGUUACACAUUCU
Molecule: long non-coding RNA, 754 nt
Organism: Fukomys damarensis (Damara mole-rat)
Lineage: Eukaryota; Metazoa; Chordata; Mammalia; Rodentia; Bathyergidae
Exons: 4
Source: RefSeq, a predicted model, not a curated record